UACGUAGGUGGCAAGCGUUGUCUGGAAUUAUUGGGCGUAAAGCGCGCGCAGGCGGUCCUUUAAGUCUGAUGUGAAAGCCCACGGCUCAACCGUGGAGGGUCAUUGGAAACUGGGGGACUUGAGUACAGAAGAGGAAAGCGGAAUUCCACGUGUAGCGGUGAAAUGCGUAGAGAUGUGGAGGAACACCAGUGGCGAAGGCGGCUUUCUGGUCUGUAACUGACGCUGAGGCGCGAAAGCGUGGGGAGCAAACAGG
RNAcentral lists this ribosomal RNA (253 nucleotides) under uncultured bacterium. RNAcentral's name for it is "partial 16S ribosomal RNA". It matches the Rfam family "Bacterial small subunit ribosomal RNA", at positions 524 to 776 of the family's 1533-position model. The record is from RNAcentral.